Long non-coding RNA from Poecile atricapillus (Black-capped chickadee), 2461 nucleotides. RefSeq lists it as uncharacterized. The transcript is spliced from 3 exons. NCBI's taxonomy places the organism in Eukaryota, Metazoa, Chordata, Aves, Passeriformes, Paridae. The record is from RefSeq and is a predicted model, not a curated record.
CCCUCGCCGUCCCUCAGUGCCUCAGCGACCCGCUGCAGUCCGUCACCGAGACAUCUCGGUUCCCCACUGUCGCCUUUCAACGCCUUAUCCCACCCCGGUCCCUCAGCGCCUUAUCCGCCUCAGUGCCUUGGUCUAUCACCGCCCUGAUUCGGUCCCUCAGUCCCCCUCAACCCGCCUCGGUCCCUCAUUCUCUUCAUCUCGCCUCAGCCCUCCACUACCUCCCUCAGCCCCUCAGCCCGCCCCACCUCGCCUCGGUUCCUCAGCCCCUCAGCCCCUCACCGACUGCCCCUCACUGCCCUCCCUUCACAGAAUCACAGGAUUGUUAGAGCCGGAAGGGAACCCUGGAGAUCAUCCAGUCCAACUCCCCUGCCAAGGCACAGUCACCCAGAGCAGGUGACACAGGAACAUGUCCAGGAUCUCUUCCCAGGACAGCUGGGCAUGGAGCAGCACAGGAAGCAAACCCAUCACUUCAAGCAUGUCUCUAAGAAAGUACUAAGGGAUGGAAAAUGAGCAAAGGAAUGUAUAAGACACUGGAUGGUGAAUUCCUACCACUCUGGAGAGCAAAUCAUGACUGUGUUGCACAUGGAACAAGUUUAUUCUCAGUCAUCAGAAUCGCAGAGCAGGGGAGAAGCAAGUGGCUGAAUUCCAAGAAAGCCAUGGAGUGGAAGUGAAGGUUCAAACAGCUUGUGUGUAAGGUUAGUGUCUGUGAGCUGUGGGGCAGGCAAAAAGAAGCUUUGCAGAACCAGGCACUGAAGACAUAGUCCAUAAAGGGUCAGGUGGUGCCAUUGUGAUUAUUGUAGAUUCAGAAUUACUGUUGAGAAGGAUGUUGCAUACAAGUGGAGUGGUUUCCUCUUUCAACUGAAGCCAAACCAACAGCAUUUCAUUAACUUCUUUUCCUUCUUCUUUACUCCAGCUGUGUGAUCUAAUACAGCAGUAUUAGAUGCUAGAAGCUUGGCUCAAAAACCAGCUGGAUACAUUGAUGGAACAAAGAAUGAACUAUAUCAUGAACUAUCAUUACAUAUAGAUAUCACCUCAGUUUGUCUGUGAGGUAGGACCCUGGAAAUAAAGGAAUUAUCCAGAAUUUAUUAUUGCUUUGUUCCUGUGCUCUGAUUUAGGAUGCUUCUCUUGGCUCCUGGUUGGGACACUGAGUUAGGUGGUUUACUCUUUGUGGUUGAACCAGAAGCCAGACAGUGCUUUACAGACCAUCUUCCAGUGCAGAGUGUUCAGGGACUGCUGGAGUUCCACAGAUCCCAGCUGCACAGUGCUCCUCUAGCAAAGCUGUUGGAAUCUUGGAACUGAAAGAUAAUCAGCAAAGAUUGGCUGAUGAGCCAAGGCUGCAGCAAAGAAUCAGGUCGGUUUGGUGCUUUCUUUUUUUCCCUGGUCAGCAGUACUUUUUCUGUUUUGCCAUUUUAGUUGGUUGAUCUUUAUGUCAGUAAUUCACACACACAGAUUCUAUAUGUGGUUUUAAAUUUUGAUAAAUCAAAAUGUCUAUUCAUGUCUUUGCUGUGCUAUAGGGGAAAAUACUGCAUCAUUCUCCAUAUUACACAGAGAACAGGUUCUUCUUUACUCUGGGCUGAAUUAAAGAUUUGCAUCCUUACCCACAGGGAAAUUGGUGGUUCAAGAAGAGUGUGGGGAUAGUGGCAGAACUAAUAUCUGUCUGGGAAAAAACAGACUUGGGUAUACUUGGGAAUGGGACAAACGAAAGGACAGCAUAAGGGUCAAAUCAACAGAGUAGUUCUUGUGUCCUCAGUACAGGUGAUAGGAGGAGCAAAGCCUUCCCAAAGAAAGCAAGCAGCUUGGGAACUGCAAUAACCCCCCAAAGCCUAAACAAAUGAGAAAGGAGAGGUGAGCUUUUCUCUCCAUAUAGCAUGUAUUAUUAUACUGAAAUUGCCAUAGCAAUAAAGCUACAGCUAUUUAUUAUAGCAUGAAGAGCUAAUCAAAACCAACCAUGAGAGGUAGCUGAACCCUGAUGAACACAGGGGUUUGGAACUGGAUGAUCUUUAAGGUCCCUUUCAACUCAAACCAUUCUGUAAUUCUAUGAACACUCAACCUCAUAAAGUAGACUUGUUAUUUUCCAGUGAAUAAUAAAGGACUUAGGUAGAACAUUACCAUGGCAAGGUACCAAAACAAGAGCUCUAUCUACUUUUGGAUGAUUUUCUAUAAAGUUUCUGAUGUUGAAGGUGACUCAAAACACUGCACAACCAAUAAGCAUUGUACAAGGGUAAUUGGAAAGUUGAACAUAUGAGAAAUUUCUAGAGAGUUUAAAUGGCAGAGGUGAUUUUAAAAACCAGAGCAGUUUUUUUCCCCCUGUUUUUACACUCAAAGGCUAAUUUAACAUUCUGUUCUGUGGCGGAUUCACAAUUGUAUAAGAUCUUAGAAUAUAAACUUUUAUAAAGUAGCUGGUGGCAUGGGUAUGGCUCAGUUUGAAAUAUCAUCAUCUUGUGAACUUAUGUGCCUGUUC